This 69-nucleotide transfer RNA is filed under the name Xenopus largeni. RNAcentral's name for it is "tRNA-Arg". It matches the Rfam family "tRNA". From Rfam's summary of the family: Transfer RNA (tRNA) molecules are approximately 80 nucleotides in length. Their secondary structure includes four short double-helical elements and three loops (D, anti-codon, and T loops). Further hydrogen bonds mediate the characteristic L-shaped molecular structure. tRNAs have two regions of fundamental functional importance: the anti-codon, which is responsible for specific mRNA codon recognition, and the 3' end, to which the tRNAs corresponding amino acid is attached (by aminoacyl-tRNA synthetases). tRNAs cope with the degeneracy of the genetic code in two manners: having more than one tRNA (with a specific anti-codon) for a particular amino acid; and 'wobble' base-pairing, i.e. permitting non-standard base-pairing at the 3rd anti-codon position. Lineage: Eukaryota; Metazoa; Chordata; Amphibia; Anura; Pipidae. The record is from RNAcentral.
GAGUUGUUAGUCUAAACAAGACAGUUGAUUUCGACUUAACAAAUUACGGUUAAACCCCAUAACAACUCU